UGCUGUUUGCCCAAAAGCAAACUCAUGAACCCAUCAGAAUCUGCUAUUGCAAAAACUAUGGAAUCCUGCAUGAGAUUCCACAAUGAGGAACUUUAGGUCUUUCCAUCUUGCAAUGUGCAUGUUAUUGUUCAGAUGCAGGUAACAAGAAAGGGUUAACAGUCGCUCACAGUACCUAACUAAGGUAGGAUGGCAAGAAAUACUAGGGACAUGGGCCUUCUCCAAUCAGGUAACCAUGAAAUGUCUUUCUACUGUAAUUUGUAAUUCUGCUUAUUCAAAGUGCGGGAAAAUGUGAGUUUAUUUUUUCUGGUUUGAAGCCUCCUAUUUUGUUCUGGGACCCCGACAACAGGAAACUUGUAUCCUAAAAGUGUCCCUGGCACUCUUUGGACACCAAGGAGAAUAAGUCUGCUUAGAAAGCAGUAUUAAAAUUUCAAUUGCAGAGCCAUUUUGCAAAUACUAUGAGUUUAUGUCCCCAGGCAACCUUAGGACAGGUCAUAAUGCAGCUCUAGAUGUUAGGUUUUGGACAGGGAUAUAAUUUGAGGUUCCUCUUGCUUUUGCUUUUUCAAGAAAAAUAAGGCCAGCUCCCGGUUUUCUAACCACUAUCAGUUUGUAUUAAAUUCCUCCAUAAACUUCCACUUUCUAAAAGAGAAACACCUUGAAAUGGUUCAAAUCAAUUCUAACCUGGGAAAAGUUGCACAAAAUGAAAUUUAAUUCCUCUACCGGUUCAAUGUUGUUUGAAAUGUUUUUAGCACAUUACAAUGGAGUAAAUAUUCCCUACUAGACUUAUCAACAAUAUUUUAUUUUGCUGAUUUUAAUGAUUUAAAUUUAUUAUUUUAUAUAACUUUGAGACUUUUAGUUUCAAUUAGGAAAAAUUUGUGGUGUUUUAGGUACCCAGAUAUUAACACACACACACACACACACACAUUAAUCUUCUCAAAAGUCUUUUAGUUCAAACUUUUGUGUAGACUCAGCAAGGUGAACUAUUUAAUACAAGCUCAGAUAGGGAUGUACUCUGAGAAAAUAUAAAAAGCCAAAUAUGAAGUCAUAUAAACAAAUAAUUUAAAUCAAUGCAGUUGUAUAUGAAAAUUCUAUUCUUCUUCAGCAAAGCUUUUCCUAAGAGAAAGAAGUUUAAAAUGUUAAGGUCAUGCAAUA
This 1149-nucleotide long non-coding RNA is filed under the name Marmota monax (woodchuck). The record is from RNAcentral. Lineage: Eukaryota; Metazoa; Chordata; Mammalia; Rodentia; Sciuridae.